RNAcentral lists this ribosomal RNA (230 nucleotides) under uncultured bacterium. Its description in RNAcentral is "partial 16S ribosomal RNA". It matches the Rfam family "Bacterial small subunit ribosomal RNA", at positions 562 to 790 of the family's 1533-position model. The record is from RNAcentral.
AAAGAGUUGCGUAGGUGGCAGAGUAAGUAAGGAGUGAAAGCGUUCGGCUCAACCGAAUAUACAUUUUUUAAACUGCUCAGCUAGAGAAUGAGAGAGGUCACUGGAAUUCCAAGUGUAGGAGUGAAAUCCGUAGAUAUUUGGAGGAACACCGAUGGCGUAGGCAGGUGACUGGCUCAUUUCUGACACUAAGGCACGAAAGCGUGGGUAGCAAACAGGAUUAGAUACCCUGU